RNAcentral lists this long non-coding RNA (314 nucleotides) under Gossypium raimondii (Peruvian cotton). RNAcentral's name for it is "long non-coding RNA (GRAI_LNC010734)". Lineage: Eukaryota; Viridiplantae; Streptophyta; Magnoliopsida; Malvales; Malvaceae. The record is from RNAcentral.
UAAAGGAUAUGGUUAUAGUCGAAAAAAUUCUCCGCUCAUUGACACCAAAGUUUAAUUAUGUGGUUUGUUCAAAUUGAGGAGUCAAAAGAUGUUGAUAUUUUAUCCAUUGAUGAAUUGAACGUUCAUUACUAGUUCAUGAAAGGAAAUUGCUACUGCAAGACAAUGCGGAAUUAGCAUUGAAAGUCUCAUCAUAUCAUUUGAUCAAAGGAGAUAGAGGACGUGGAUCAAAUGGCAAUUACAACAGAGGCUGAGGUAGAGGCCGUAGCAAAGGUUGAGGAAACUAUGUUCAUUAACAUAAUCAACAUCAAGGAAAC